This is a non-coding RNA of Pelobates cultripes (western spadefoot toad), 1829 nucleotides long. The record is from the annotation of a GenBank genome assembly. NCBI's taxonomy places the organism in Eukaryota, Metazoa, Chordata, Amphibia, Anura, Pelobatidae.
AAGCCCAGUCCCGCAUGGCAGAUCGGUUCAGGGCAGCCCCUUCCGAGUAGGCCUCAUCUGCCAACAUUAGCAUCCUGCAUAGGGGGCCCAGCAUAUCAAGCAAUUUGUCCUGCACCAAGCCCUUUCUUGGGAUCACGUCCAGUACAGGUCAUGUAUGUAAACACCAGGGAAUCAAAUUCCGGAGUCGUGGCAACCUUAUCCGGCAGGGCAGGCCUGGCGCAUUCAGCCCAGAGUUUUCUGUGAACCUCCCAAUCCAGAGGUCUGUGAACCCAGUAAUGCACGAAUUGUGCCAAGUGAUCAGGAAGGGACCAUUCGGAGGACCUGGGGUGUCGAAUGGUUCGCUCGUGGCGUCCAAGAAAGUGUCAUCGUCCGUGGCUCUCCGCCUCAUAGUGCCACUUAGGUUCGUCCCCAAGGUCCUCGUCACACUCAACUUCGCCCUCCGAUGGGGACUGGUCCGCCUGCCAUUCGUCCAGGAUGACCAUGGAAGGCGGCGGUGUCUGGGCGGAGAGGCUGACAAUGCCUGGCCAUGACGCCGGGCCAUGGCGCUUCGCCGGAGUCUUGCCUUUUCCGGAGCGUGGUUCAGGGCCUUCACCCUUCCAAUAGCCAUCUGGGAGGACUCCCUAGCACCCCAUUGAGGGAUGACCCUAGCCCAGGGUCUUUUCCACGGAGGCUGCCACUGCCGCAUUAAUCGUGGCUUGCAGAUUAAUCAUGGCUUGCAGAUGGCUCCGUGAUCAAGGAGUCGUGUGUAAUGUGACACCUACGGGUACAGAGGACAGGUGUCACUAGUAUGCAAAUGGGGCAGCACCCCUAAUGGCAGAGGCAAGCAGUUGGCGCAUGCAGGGUCCAAGUGGGCUCACAGAGCCGCCAGGCGUACAUAGAUAAUGGCACAGCCAGAGCAGGCCAAUCAAGGGGCACAGACAAAGCAGGCCAAUUCAGGGCACAGCCAAAGCAGGCCAGCCACACGGCACAGACCGCGCAGGCCAAAUAGAGGCACAGUCAAGGCAGGCCAAUCAGAGUUUGCAGGAAACAUGCUUGGGGGCAGGUAUUCAGGCAUGUAUAUAGAAUCCCUAGAAAUUGCAGUAAGCAGGGAAGGCUGCACGGCAGAGGGCAGGCCAAAUGUAACCCCUACCACCAGUCUUAUGGCAGCCAUUAUGAGUCAGCAGAGCAGUGAAAUGGGCAGCAAUACAGCACUCUAAAUGGCUAUAAAACAUGCAGACAUACAGCAAAUAUAUUUAAUGCAUACACCUUUAAAAUUGGCAAAGUAACGUGCACUAAUACUAUAUGAGCUAGCGGCACUAAGGCACCGAGGUCGCGGGAGGGUGAGAGUUAGGCGGUCGGGAGAAGUCGCUCCCACGUAGACAGCUUUCUCCCACACUACCGCACACAUCGCCCUACCCAAGCCGCGGUCAAACCGACACCGCGGGCUGGAGUGUGGGCAGGGUGAGAGCCAGAAAAGGCACGUGGAACCGCCAGAGUCUUACUCCGCGAUAGGCAAUGGGAGGCAUUCAGAGGACCUCAACCCAGCUAACACAAGAAAACAAGCGAGGGGUGAAGAAGGGGUAGGUAGGGCAAGACAACAAACUGGGCAGGGUUAGAGAGAGGGGUAAGAAGCAGUGCUACCCCAGUUGCAAAACCAGAAGAAACAGCCCACAGAAUAAGCCCCAAACAGGAAGAAUCAUGUACAAAACCCCCCACACAGCAGAUAGCAAUACAGAACACAGAAAUAUGAAAUACAAUAAAAAUAAAAUAUGUAAUAAAAUAUCCACAGCCACCCAAAGUAACAGGAGGCAGUGAUACUCUGACCUGUGACAAGAAAAAGAAAAAAACAA